ACAAGUGCAUGUGGUGGAUGCCUUGGCGAUCACAGGCGAUGAAGGACGCGGUAGCCUGCGAAAAGCUUCGGGGAGCUGGCAAACAAGCUUUGAUCCGGAGAUGUCCGAAUGGGGAAACCCGGCCCGUAUGGGUCAUCCCUGACUGAAUACAUAGGUCAGGGAAGCGAACGCGGCGAACUGAAACAUCUAAGUAGCUGCAGGAACAGAAAUCAACCGAGAUUCCCAGAGUAGUGGCGAACGAAAUGGGAAGAGCCUUGUACUCUUUAGCAGUGUUGUUAGCAGAACGGGAUGGAAAGCCCGGCCAUAGCAGGUGAUAGCCCUGUAUGCGAAAACAGCGUUGUGGAACUAGGUGUACGACAAGUAGGGCGGGACACGUGAAAUCCUGUCUGAAGAUGGGGGGACCAUCCUCCAAGGCUAAAUACUCGUGAUCGACCGAUAGUGAACCAGUACCGUGAGGGAAAGGCGAAAAGAACCCCGGGAGGGGAGUGAAAUAGAUCCUGAAACCGCAUGCAUACAAACAGUCGGAGCCUGGAAACGGGUGACGGCGUACCUUUUGUAUAAUGGGUCAGCGACUUACAUUCAGUGGCAAGCUUAACCGAUUAGGGAAGGCGUAGCGAAAGCGAGUCCGAAUAGGGCGUUCAGUCGCUGGGUGUAGACCCGAAACCAGACGAUCUAUCCAUGGCCAGGUUGAAGGUGCGGUAACACGUACUGGAGGACCGAACCCACUAACGUUGAAAAGUUAGGGGAUGAGCUGUGGAUAGGGGUGAAAGGCUAAACAAGUCUGGAAAUAGCUGGUUCUCUCCGAAAACUAUUUAGGUAGUGCCUCGUGUCUCACCUUCGGGGGUAGAGCACUGUCAUGGUUGGGGGGUCUAUUGCUGAUUACCCCGCCAUAGCAAACUCCGAAUACCGAAGAGUGCAAUCACGGGAGACAGACAUCGGGUGCUAACGUCCGGUGUCAAGAGGGAAACAACCCAGACCGCCAGCUAAGGUCCCUAAGAUUGGCUAAGUGGGAAACGAAGUGGGAAGGCUAAAACAGUCAGGAGGUUGGCUUAGAAGCAGCCAUCCUUUAAAGAAAGCGUAAUAGCUCACUGAUCGAGUCGUCCUGCGCGGAAGAUGUAACGGGGCUAAGCCAGUCACCGAAGCUGCGGAUGCACGUAAGUGCAUGGUAGGAGAGCGUUCUGUAAGCCUGUGAAGGUGUCUUGUAAAGGAUGCUGGAGGUAUCAGAAGUGCGAAUGCUGACAUGAGUAGCGAUAAAGGGGGUGAAAAGCCCCCUCGCCGUAAGCCCAAGGUUUCCUACGCAACGUUCAUCGGCGUAGGGUGAGUCGGCCCCUAAGGCGAGGCAGAGAUGCGUAGCUGAUGGGAAGCAGGUUAAUAUUCCUGCACCGUCGUAUGAUGCGAUGGGGGGACGGAUCGCGGAAGGUUGUCCGGGUGUUGGAAGUCCCGGUCCCUGCAUUGGAGAAGGCGCUUAGGCAAAUCCGGGCGCGGAAUUCAAGGAUGUGGGGCGAGCGGCCUAGUGCUGCGAAGCAAUUGGAAGUGGUUCCAAGAAAAGCCUCUAAGCUUCAGUCAUACGAGACCGUACCGCAAACCGACACAGGUGGGCGAGAUGAGUAUUCUAAGGCGCUUGAGAGAACUCGGGAGAAGGAACUCGGCAAAUUGGUACCGUAACUUCGGGAUAAGGUACGCCCUUGUAGCUUGACUGGCCUGCGCCAGGAGGGUGAAGGGGUUGCAAUAAAAUGGUGGCUGCGACUGUUUAAUAAAAACACAGCACUCUGCAAACACGAAAGUGGACGUAUAGGGUGUGACGCCUGCCCGGUGCCGGAAGAUUAAAUGAUGGGGUGCAAGCUCUUGAUUGAAGUCCCGGUAAACGGCGGCCGUAACUAUAACGGUCCUAAGGUAGCGAAAUUCCUUGUCGGGUAAGUUCCGACCUGCACGAAUGGCGUAACGAUGGCCACACUGUCUCCUCCCGAGACUCAGCGAAGUUGAAGUGUUUGUGAUGAUGCAAUCUCCCCGCGGCUAGACGGAAAGACCCCAUGAACCUUUACUGUAGCUUUGCAUUGGACUUUGAACCGAUCUGUGUAGGAUAGGUGGGAGGCUUUGAAGCGUGGACGCUAGUCUGCGUGGAGCCGUCCUUGAAAUACCACCCUGGUUUGUUUGAGGUUCUAACCUUGGUCCGUGAAUCCGGAUCGGGGACAGUGCAUGGUAGGCAGUUUGACUGGGGCGGUCUCCUCCCAAAGUGUAACGGAGGAGUUCGAAGGUACGCUUGGUACGGUCGGACAUCGUACCUAAAGUGCAAUGGCAAAAGCGUGCUUAACUGCGAGACCGACAAGUCGAGCAGGUGCGAAAGCAGGACAUAGUGAUCCGGUGGUUCUGAAUGGAAGGGCCAUCGCUCAACGGAUAAAAGGUACUCUGGGGAUAACAGGCUGAUACCGCCCAAGAGUUCAUAUCGACGGCGGUGUUUGGCACCUCGAUGUCGGCUCAUCUCAUCCUGGGGCUGUAGCCGGUCCCAAGGGUAUGGCUGUUCGCCAUUUAAAGAGGUACGUGAGCUGGGUUUAAAACGUCGUGAGACAGUUUGGUCCCUAUCUGCCGUGGGCGUUGGAAUCUUGACGGGGGCUGCUCCUAGUACGAGAGGACCGGAGUGGACGUACCGCUGGUGUACCUGUUGUCUCGCCAGAGGCAUCGCAGGGUAGCUAUGUACGGAAGAGAUAACCGCUGAAAGCAUCUAAGCGGGAAACUCGCCUGAAGAUGAGGAUUCCCUGGAGCCUUGAGCUCCUUGAAGGGUCGUUCGAGACCAGGACGUUGAUAGGCUGGGUGUGGAAGCGCAGUAAUGCGUUAAGCUAACCAGUACUAAUUGCCCGUAAGGCUUGAUC
Molecule: ribosomal RNA, 2867 nt
Filed under: metagenome
Description: bacterial LSU rRNA
Rfam family: Bacterial large subunit ribosomal RNA
Source: RNAcentral